RNAcentral lists this unclassified non-coding RNA (604 nucleotides) under Athalia rosae (coleseed sawfly). RNAcentral's name for it is "misc RNA ENSAEAG00005001348.1". The record is from RNAcentral. Lineage: Eukaryota; Metazoa; Arthropoda; Insecta; Hymenoptera; Athaliidae.
ACGUGAUCUGAAUCGCGUAAAAAACUCUCCGAAGAUAUAAUUUAUAUUUUUCAAAUAUACUCAAACUGCAAACAAGCUCUGAAAUAAUAACCGCAGUAAUAAUUGUCUAACGGUCGAUUCUCCGUCUAUUUCUAAAUCAUUUUAUGUGUACAUAACAUCACUCGAAUUUUUGUUUCAAUAUUUCUGGAGCUCAAAGUUCUCUUACCUUGUUUAUUUUCCCUAACGAAAAUACCCCGUUCAAUAUCAAAAUUCAACACGUCCCUCUUCCGCGUAUAUUCGUCUGGAUUAUACGCGCGGCUAAUAUUCGAAAGCAGGAGGGAUUCAGAAGAUUUUCGUUCCAAAUUCCGUAUCAAACCGAAUUGCUCGGAGCACACGAUGGAUGAAUUCAGCGAAACAAACGUUUGGUCGUUAGAGCCGACCCCAUGGGGAGUCUACAUAUACAGCGUGGUUAUCCCGGCUAUUUCCACACUCGGUGUCGCCGGAAACGCCUUGAUCCUCGCUGUCCUUAGCAGAAAAAGUCUCAAAGCUUCGACGUAUACUUACCUAGCCGGUAAUUACGAAUAAAAGUAUAUCCGUGAAAUAUGUUCACAGCUAUAGGUAAAAU